This 721-nucleotide ribosomal RNA is filed under the name uncultured Verrucomicrobiota bacterium. Its description in RNAcentral is "bacterial SSU rRNA". It matches the Rfam family "Bacterial small subunit ribosomal RNA", at positions 61 to 760 of the family's 1533-position model. Lineage: Bacteria; Pseudomonadati; Verrucomicrobiota. The record is from RNAcentral.
GUCGAACGGGAUUUUUUCCUGUAGCAAUACAGGAAAAAGUCUAGUGGCGAACGGGUGCGUAACACGUGAGCAACCUGCCGUGAAGUGGGGGAUAGCUCGCCGAAAGGCGAAUUAAUACCGCAUGUGGCCAAGGAAGACAUCUUCCUGACGCCAAAGCCGGGGUAACCUGGCGCUUCUCGAGGGGCUCGCGGCCUAUCAGCUUGUUGGUGAGGUAACGGCUCACCAAGGCUAUGACGGGUAGCUGGUCUGAGAGGACGACCAACCACACUGGAACUGAGACACGGUCCAGACACCUACGGGUGGCAGCAGUCGAGAAUUUUUCACAAUGGGGGAAACCCUGAUGGAGCGACGCCGCGUGGAGGAUGAAGGUUUUCGGAUUGUAAACUCCUGUCAUUAGAGAACAAGGCACAUGGUUUAACUGGCCGUGUGUUGAUAGUAUCUGAAGAGGAAGGGACGGCUAACUCUGUGCCAGCAGCCGCGGUAAUACAGAGGUCUCAAGCGUUGUUCGGAUUCAUAGGGCGUAAAGGGUGCGUAGGUGGCGAGGUAAGUCGGAUGUGAAAUCUCCAAGCUCAACUUGGAAACUGCAUUCGAUACUGCUUUGCUAGAGGAUUGUAGAGGGCAUUGGAAUUCCAGGUGUAGCGGUGAAAUGCGUAGAGAUCUGGAGGAAUACCGAUGGCGAAGGCAGCCAUCUGGCCUAAUACUGACACUGAGGUGCGAAAGC